RNAcentral lists this ribosomal RNA (606 nucleotides) under uncultured bacterium. Its description in RNAcentral is "bacterial SSU rRNA". It matches the Rfam family "Bacterial small subunit ribosomal RNA", at positions 338 to 1415 of the family's 1533-position model. The record is from RNAcentral.
CCUACGGGAGGCAGCAGUGGGGAAUCUUGCGCAAUGGGCGAAAGCCUGACGCAGCCAUGCCGCGUGAAUGAUGAAGGUCUUAGGAUUGUAAAAUUCUUUCACCGGGGACGAUAAUGACGGUACCCGGAGAAGAAGCCCCGGCUAACUUCGUGCCAGCAGCCGCGGUAAUACGAAGGGGGCUAGCGUUGCUCGGAAUUACUGGGCGUAAAGGGAGCGUAGGCGGAUAGUUUAGUCAGAGGUGAAAGCCCAGGGCUCAACCUUGGAAUUGCCUUUGAUACUGGCUAUCUUGAGUACGGAAGAGGUAUGUGGAACUCCGAGUGUAGAGGUGAAAUUCGUAGAUAUUCGGAAGAACACCAGUGGCGAAGGCGACAUACUGGUCCGUUACUGACGCUGAGGCUCGAAAGCGUGGGGAGCAAACAGGAUUAGAUACCCUGGUAGUCCACGCUGUAAACGAUGAGUGCUAGUUGUCGGCAUGCAUGCAUGUCGGUGACGCAGCUAACGCAUUAAGCACUCCGCCUGGGGAGUACGGUCGCAAGAUUAAAAACUCAAAAGUUAGUUAAGUUACGGACGGUUGUAGAGAGCGACGACGACGACGAGGAGGAGGAG